Molecule: ribosomal RNA, 253 nt
Filed under: uncultured bacterium
Lineage: Bacteria
Description: partial 16S ribosomal RNA
Rfam family: Bacterial small subunit ribosomal RNA
Source: RNAcentral
UACGGAGGGUGCGAGCGUUGUCCGGAAUUAUUGGGCGUAAAGAGCUCGUAGGCGGUCUGUCGCGUCUGCUGUGAAAACUCAGGGCUUAACCCUGAGCUUGCAGUGGGUACGGGCAGACUAGAGUGUGGUAGGGGAGACUGGAAUUCCUGGUGUAGCGGUGAAAUGCGCAGAUAUCAGGAGGAACACCGAUGGCGAAGGCAGGUCUCUGGGCCACUACUGACGCUGAGGAGCGAAAGCAUGGGGAGCGAACAGG